UACGUAGGUGGCAAGCGUUGUCCGGAUUUACUGGGCGUAAAGGGCGUGCAGGCGGUUUGUUAAGUGCAGGGUGAAAGCUCCCGGCUCAACUGGGAGAGGUCCUUGCAUACUGGCGAACUCGAGGGAGGCAGAGGAAAGUGGAAUUCCCGGUGUAGUGGUGAUAUGCGUAGAUAUCGGGAGGAACACCUGUGGCGAAGGCGGCUUUCUGGGCCUUAACUGACGCUGAGACGCGAAAGCGUGGGGAGCGAACCGG
This 253-nucleotide ribosomal RNA is filed under the name uncultured bacterium. RNAcentral's name for it is "partial 16S ribosomal RNA". It matches the Rfam family "Bacterial small subunit ribosomal RNA", at positions 524 to 776 of the family's 1533-position model. The record is from RNAcentral.